GAAUAUAAAAUAAGACAUUGCCUCGAGGAAAAUUCUUAAUUAAUGAGAAAGCGUAAUUUAACUAUGCAUGAAUCUUGUAUGCAUGAACUAACAUUUUCGAACGAUAUUCGGAAAUUCUACUAUUAAUCCUCGUUAAUAAAUUUAACUAACUCUCAUUUAUCGCGGUCGAAUAAAGAUGUAACUCUUCCUUUCUCGUCGUAAUAUUCUAAAAGUAAAAUAAACCUCGCUUUUGUACUCGAUCGAAAAUAAAGAACUAACUCGGCUUUAAUCGAGGUGUGAUCUCAUAAAAAUUAUCGGGCUUUUCAAAAUUUAAUAAAUAAUUGAAAACAUUUCUCUUGAGUUAAGAAUACCAACAAUAUUCUUACUCGUCUUUCUUUAAUAAUUGGAUUUAUAAUUAAAAUCAAUUAAAUACUUUUAUUGCAAGUAAAAAUGCAAUUUCAUGUCAUGCUUAGCAUAUAAUAAGUAAUUUACUUAAAAUAUGCACAUAAUAAUAAUACAAUAUUAUUAUUAUGUAAAUCAUCUUUUGAGAAAGAUAAUUAAUUAAACUAAAUAAAUAGUCUAAUUAAUAAGUAUCCAUUUUUCUUUGAACUGCAGCCCAGUUAAAUAAUAAGGUAGCCCAUUUCUUAAAAAAAAAAAAAAAAAAAAAAAAAAACAUAAGCCCAAUAAUCAAUUAAGUGAAAGAGGCCCACUAAAAAGUUAGGCCCAACUGAAUUAAAUUAGGAAAGGCCCAAUUGUAGAAUAAAAUAAAUUAGGCCCAACUGGAACAAUAUUACUGGACUCAAAUAAUUAAAUAGAUCUAGGCUCAAAUAAAAAAAAAUAGCAGUCCAACUGAGAUAAAUAAUUCUGGGCUCAAUAAAAUUAUGUUGUUGGGUUCAAAUAAUUAAAAUAGGAAGCCCAAAUAAAGCAAGGUCCAUUUCUUCUCAAUUAUUCGGCCCAAUUGAAUAUAAAAAUAAAGGCCCAAAACAAUUUAAACAAAGCCCAAGCUUAAAAUUCGGCCCAAAAGAAAUUAGUGGCCCAAAACAUAGCCCAACUUAAAAAAAAAACAAAAGCCCAAACCUCUAUCUCUUUACUCAACUCUCGGUCUUCUUUUUUUUUUUUCUCACCCACACAAUUUCAUAACUCUCUCUCUCUCAAAGAAAUACACACACACAGACGCACGCUUCGGUUCUCUCUCUCUCUCGAUCCCUCUCCAGCCGAGGCGGGCGCCGCCGCCGCUGCCGGCGCGGCCGUGCCUGGCAGAGGGUGGCACACCUUGCCGUCUCACUCUCCUCUCUCUCUCAAGGAGUUGCUCGCCCCUUCCUCUCCAGCCUGCUCGCUCGGCUCCAUCCUCCGCACAGGUCGGCUCCUCCUACCCCGGCAGUGCAGCGGCAGUCGGCUCCGGUUGGCUUCGAUUUUCGACACUUCAAAUCAGCGUCGUUCUCUCUCCUCAGCGCAGAGCCCCCAAAAUCGUGCCCUAGAGUCAACUACCAGGUUGCUGCCGCCGUUGUCUGGAGCCAUCGCCGCCGUCUGGAGUUGCUGCUGCUCGUCCGAUGGUCAGCGCCGACUGCUGCUGCUUCGCCGGGAGUCGCCGCCGACUGGAGUUGCUGCUCUCGACCUUGCUCUCUGUUUCUCUACUCCCAAGUCAUCUCCCCCUUUCAAUCUAUGGAGCGGAGGAAAAUCCUUACUCCUAAUUCAGAAAUCGCCUCAGCUCGACGCCGCUCUACUAUGAAAUUCCGGCGAGCAGGAGAGUGUCCGACGCCCUCAUCGAUUCUCCGAUGAGUAGUAAAUCAGGGUAGGGCGGUGUCCGCUGCUCCCCUCUUUCACUCGUGUACACGAACGAGGGAAAGGCCGAGUUCUCGGUCCUCUUAGCUCAGGCGAGAGAGUCACCGCCGUCCACCUCUCGUUCGACGGAAUAGUCAAGUCGGCUCCUUCUCGGUACAUUGAAACAGGUGAGUAAGGAAUGAAUGGAGGUGAAUGGAGGAAGGUUGCUGCUGAAUUGUUUGCUUGAAGAAGUGUUGGCUAGUAGCUUUCAAGAAUCGAAGGUGGUGGGGAGAAUGUAGUGGAGGAAAGCAAAAGGUGGUGGGCAAAGGAUUGUAGUGCACACUUUUCCUUAUCUUAUCUUGCUUUGCAA
Salvia miltiorrhiza (redroot sage) is the source of this 2110-nucleotide long non-coding RNA. RefSeq lists it as uncharacterized. Lineage: Eukaryota; Viridiplantae; Streptophyta; Magnoliopsida; Lamiales; Lamiaceae. The record is from RefSeq and is a predicted model, not a curated record. The transcript has 2 exons.